CUUCCGUAGGGUGAACCUGCGGAAGGAUCAUUAACGAAUAACUAUGGCGUUGGUUGUAGCUGGCUCCUCGGAGCAAUGUGCACGCCCGCCAUUUUUAUCUUUCCACCUGUGCACCGACUGUAGGUCUGGAUACCUCUCGCCUCCGGGCGGAUGCGAGGGUUGCUCGUAAGGGCUUCCCUUGAACUUCCAGGCUCUACGUCUUUUUACACACCCCAAUAGUAUGAUGCAGAAUGUAGUCAAUGGGCUUCUCAGCCUAUAAAACACUAUACAACUUUCAGCAACGGAUCUCUUGGCUCUCGCAUCGAUGAAGAACGCAGCGAAAUGCGAUAAGUAAUGUGAAUUGCAGAAUUCAGUGAAUCAUCGAAUCUUUGAACGCACCUUGCGCUCCUUGGUAUUCCGAGGAGCAUGCCUGUUUGAGUGUCAUUAAAUUCUCAACCUCACCAGUUUUCUGAACUGACUGAGGCUUGGAUGUGGGGGUUUGUGCAGGCUGCCUCACCGGCGGUCUGCUCCCCUGAAAUGCAUUAGCGAGGUUCAUGCUGGACCUCCGUCUAUUGGUGUGAUAAUUAUCUACGCCGUGGACGAGGAUACAGACUCGCUUCUAACCGUCCGCGAGGACAAUAGCUUGACAAUUUGACCUCAAAUCAGGUAGGACUACCCGCUGAACUUAAGCAUAUCAAUAAGCCGGAGGAAG
RNAcentral lists this ribosomal RNA (691 nucleotides) under Coprinellus radians. RNAcentral's name for it is "eukaryotic LSU rRNA". The stretch from base 270 to 423 matches the Rfam family "5.8S ribosomal RNA". The record is from RNAcentral. Lineage: Eukaryota; Fungi; Basidiomycota; Agaricomycetes; Agaricales; Psathyrellaceae.